UACGUAGGGUGCAAGCGUUGUCCGGAAUUAUUGGGCGUAAAGAGCUCGUAGGCGGUUUGUCACGUCGGCCGUGAAAACUCGGGGCUCAACCCCGAGCCUGCGGUCGAUACGGGCAGACUAGAGUGCUGUAGGGGAGACUGGAAUUCCUGGUGUAGCGGUGAAAUGCGCAGAUAUCAGGAGGAACACCGGUGGCGAAGGCGGCGAGCUGGCCUGUACCUGACGCUGAGGCGCGACAGCGUGGGGAGCAAACAGG
RNAcentral lists this ribosomal RNA (253 nucleotides) under uncultured bacterium. RNAcentral describes it as "partial 16S ribosomal RNA". It matches the Rfam family "Bacterial small subunit ribosomal RNA", at positions 524 to 776 of the family's 1533-position model. The record is from RNAcentral.